Molecule: ribosomal RNA, 2036 nt
Filed under: Staphylococcus epidermidis
Lineage: Bacteria; Bacillati; Bacillota; Bacilli; Caryophanales; Staphylococcaceae
Description: partial 23S ribosomal RNA
Rfam family: Bacterial large subunit ribosomal RNA
Source: RNAcentral
UUCGGCUAGGGGGCCAUCCCGGCUUACCAACCCGAUGCAAACUACGAAUACCGAAGAAUGUUAUCACGGGAGACACACGGCGGGUGCUAACGUCCGUCGUGAAGAGGGAAACAACCCAGACCGCCAGCUAAGGUCCCAAAGUCAUGGUUAAGUGGGAAACGAUGUGGGAAGGCACAGACAGCCAGGAUGUUGGCUUAGAAGCAGCCAUCAUUUAAAGAAAGCGUAAUAGCUCACUGGUCGAGUCGGCCUGCGCGGAAGAUGUAACGGGGCUAAACCAUGCACCGAAGCUGCGGCAGCGACACUAUGUGUUGUUGGGUAGGGGAGCGUUCUGUAAGCCGUCGAAGGUGUGCUGUGAGGCAUGCUGGAGGUAUCAGAAGUGCGAAUGCUGACAUAAGUAACGAUAAAGCGGGUGAAAAGCCCGCUCGCCGGAAGACCAAGGGUUCCUGUCCAACGUUAAUCGGGGCAGGGUGAGUCGACCCCUAAGGCGAGGCCGAAAGGCGUAGUCGAUGGGAAACAGGUUAAUAUUCCUGUACUUGGUGUUACUGCGAAGGGGGGACGGAGAAGGCUAUGUCAGCCGGGCGACGGUUGUCCCGGUUUAAGCAUGUAGGCGGAGGUUCCAGGUAAAUCCGGUACCUUUUAACGCUGAGGUGUGAUGACGAGGCACUACGGUGCUGAAGUGAUAAAUGCCCUGCUUCCAGGAAAAGCCUCUAAGCAUCAGGUAACACGAAAUCGUACCCCAAACCGACACAGGUGGUCAGGUAGAGAAUACCAAGGCGCUUGAGAGAACUCGGGUGAAGGAACUAGGCAAAAUGGUGCCGUAACUUCGGGAGAAGGCACGCUGAUAUGUAGGUGAAGCCCCUGCGGGCGGAGCUGAAAUCAGUCGAAGAUACCAGCUGGCUGCAACUGUUUAUUAAAAACACAGCACUGUGCAAACACGAAAGUGGACGUAUACGGUGUGACGCCUGCCCGGUGCCGGAAGGUUAAUUGAUGGGGUUAGCGGCAACGCGAAGCUCUUGAUCGAAGCCCCGGUAAACGGCGGCCGUAACUAUAACGGUCCUAAGGUAGCGAAAUUCCUUGUCGGGUAAGUUCCGACCUGCACGAAUGGCGUAAUGAUGGCCAGGCUGUCUCCACCCGAGACUCAGUGAAAUUGAACUCGCUGUGAAGAUGCAGUGUACCCGCGGCAAGACGGAAAGACCCCGUGAACCUUUACUAUAGCUUGACACUGAACACUGGUCCUUGAUGUGUAGGAUAGGUGGGAGGCUUUGAAGCGUGGACGCCAGUCUGCGUGGAGCCAACCUUGAAAUACCACCCUUUAAUGGCUGGUGUUCUAACGUGGACCCGUUACCCGGGUUGCGGACAGUGUCUGGUGGGUAGUUUGACUGGGGCGGUCUCCUCCCAAAGAGUAACGGAGGAGCACGAAGGUUGGCUAAUCCUGGUCGGACAUCAGGAGGUUAGUGCAAUGGCAUAAGCCAGCUUGACUGCGAGCGUGACGGCGCGAGCAGGUGCGAAAGCAGGUCAUAGUGAUCCGGUGGUUCUGAAUGGAAGGGCCAUCGCUCAACGGAUAAAAGGUACUCCGGGGAUAACAGGCUGAUACCGCCCAAGAGUUCAUAUCGACGGCGGUGUUUGGCACCUCGAUGUCGGCUCAUCACAUCCUGGGGCUGAAGUAGGUCCCAAGGGUAUGGCUGUUCGCCAUUUAAAGUGGUACGCGAGCUGGGUUUAGAACGUCGUGAGACAGUUCGGUCCCUAUCUGCCGUGGGCGCUGGAGAAUUGAGGGGGGCUGCUCCUAGUACGAGAGGACCGGAGUGGACGCAUCACUGGUGUUCGGGUUGUCAUGCCAAUGGCACUGCCCGGUAGCUAAAUGCGGAAGAGAUAAGUGCUGAAAGCAUCUAAGCACGAAACUUGCCCCGAGAUGAGUUCUCCCUGAGACUUUAAGUCUCCUGAAGGAACGUUGAAGACGACGACGUUGAUAGGUCGGGUGUGUAAGCGCAGCGAUGCGUUGAGCUAACCGAUACUAAUGAACCGUGAGGCUUAACCUU